GUGGAUUAGAUACCCUGGUAGUCCACGCCCUAAACGAUGUCGACUGGUUGUUGGGUGGGUAACCACUUAGUAACGAAGCUAACGCGUGAAGUCGACCGCCUGGGGAGUACGGUCGCAAGAUUAAAACUCAAAGGAAUUGACGGGGACCCGCACAAGCGGUGGAUGAUGUGGUUUAAUUCGAUGCAACGCGAAAAACCUUACCUACACUUGACAUGUCAGAGAUCCUUCAGAGAUGAGGGAGUGCCGCAAGGAAUCUGAACACAGGUGCUGCACGGCCGUCGCCAACU
This 287-nucleotide ribosomal RNA is filed under the name uncultured bacterium. Its description in RNAcentral is "partial 16S ribosomal RNA". It matches the Rfam family "Bacterial small subunit ribosomal RNA", at positions 773 to 1060 of the family's 1533-position model. The record is from RNAcentral.